Molecule: ribosomal RNA, 415 nt
Filed under: uncultured prokaryote
Description: bacterial SSU rRNA
Rfam family: Bacterial small subunit ribosomal RNA
Source: RNAcentral
GUGUCAGCCGCCGCGGUAAUACGGAGGGUGCAAGCGUUGUUCGGAAUUAUUGGGCGUAAAGAGCGUGUAGGCGGCCUUGUAAGUCAGAUGUGAAAUACCUUGGCUCAACCAAGGAAGGGCAUUUGAAACUGCUUGGCUUGAGUACGGGAGGGGGAAGCGGAAUUCCCGGUGUAGAGGUGAAAUUCGUAGAUAUCGGGAGGAACACCGGUGGCGAAGGCGGCUUCCUGGACCGAUACUGACGCUGAGACGCGAAAGCGUGGGGAGCAAACAGGAUUAGAUACCCUGGUAGUCCACGCCCUAAACGUUGGGCACUAGGUGUUGCGGGUAUUGACCCCUGCAGUGCCGAAGCUAACGCAUUAAGUGCCCCGCCUGGGGAGUACGGCCGCAAGGCUAAAACUCAAAGGAAUUGACGGGG